Molecule: ribosomal RNA, 354 nt
Filed under: bacterium LimC-10-J-71
Lineage: Bacteria
Also listed under: 47 other names
Description: bacterial SSU rRNA
Rfam family: Bacterial small subunit ribosomal RNA
Source: RNAcentral
GGUCUGAGAGGAUGAUCCGCCACACUGGGACUGAGACACGGCCCAGACUCCUACGGGAGGCAGCAGUGGGGAAUUUUGGACAAUGGGCGCAAGCCUGAUCCAGCCAUGCCGCGUGUCUGAAGAAGGCCUUCGGGUUGUAAAGGACUUUUGUCCGGGAGCAAAUCCCAGUGGUUAAUACCUACUGGGGCUGAGAGUACCGGAAGAAUAAGCACCGGCUAACUACGUGCCAGCAGCCGCGGUAAUACGUAGGGUGCAAGCGUUAAUCGGAAUUACUGGGCGUAAAGCGUGCGCAGGCGGUUGUGCAAGUCUGAUGUGAAAGCCCCGGGCUUAACCUGGGAACGGCAUUGGAGACUG